UCUAAAGCUGUAACAAUAUACAUUAAUGUGAAAAUAGUAUUAAUGUUUGAUCUUGAAGUCUCUACAAGGAACAUAGUCUAUGUUGUAUUGCAAAAUUUAGCUCUUUUUAUUUAUAUAAUAAAAGUUGAAUGGGAUACUGUUUUCUUGGUGGUGAUAAUUUGGUUUUUUCUCUUGAACAUUUGUUUCUUUAAGAAGAACCACGGACACUGAAGCCGUGGAUAUAGAUUAACAGAACUGCAGUGUACAGUGAGAAAUGCAUUCUUCCAAAAUUCUGAACUAUGCUGUUCGUCUUUCCAUCACACAAGCGAGCUACGUGAGUGGCCGACAGACAGGUGGCCGGCUCGUUCUGCCGUCUGCCGUCGUCCUCGCCACCUUCGGACUGGGGCUGUCCACGUUCAGUGUUAGGAAACUGCUGUCAUCCAACACCAGCAAGUUUUGACCAUGUCACAAUCAUCCCAAAUUUUGGUCUAAUUUUCACUAAGUAAAAGUAUUUCAUAGUUGCACCUAAACAAUGGCACAUCUCAUUUUUGACUGAGUUGUGUGUUAAAACCUGUCCUAAGAAUUUAAAUGCUAUGCUGAUUUGAGUUUGAGUAUCUAGGUGCUGUAAUUGUCAUAAUGUUGUGUAAUGCUGUGUAAGACGCAUCUAGGAACAUGACAUUUGAUCUAUAACUACUUGCUAGUUUUGUAAUGGUAACUUGACAGCUAUGCUAUACAUGUAUGUAGUAAGUUAUCAGCUGUCCUAAUUUAAGUGUUCCAUAUUACCAAUUACUUGUAAUUUAUGAACAUUUUGUAUAUGUUGUCAACCAUCUCUGAAAUAAAUUUUAAAAAUGA
Molecule: long non-coding RNA, 831 nt
Organism: Bacillus rossius redtenbacheri
Lineage: Eukaryota; Metazoa; Arthropoda; Insecta; Phasmatodea; Bacillidae
Exons: 3
Source: RefSeq, a predicted model, not a curated record